GCAGUUAACUUAUCCCGAAGCUCCAAAGCAAACGUCUUUUACUUCUUCGCCGGGGACGCUGCUGUACCACCGCUGCCUCCCUUUCGCAUUCUGCUGGGCUCGGUCAGCCGCUGAGAUUAGAGAGUAUUAUGAGGGAGGCCGAGGACUUCAUGCUCCGGACAGAGAAACGGCGCUGGGAUUAGGGAUUGCCACUUCUGAGAGGAUGCUGGGAAUCUGCAGGGGGAGACGGAAAUUCUUGGCUGCCUCAUUGAGUCUUCUCUGCAUCCCAGCCAUCACCUGGAUUUACCUGUUUUCUGGGAGCUUCGAAGAUGGAAAGCCCGUGUCUCUGUCACCGCUGGAGUCCCAGGCACACAGCCCCAGGUACACGGCCUCCAGCCAGCGGGAGCGCGAGAGCCUGGAGGUGCGCAUGCGCGAAGUGGAGGAGGAGAACCGCGCCCUCCGUAGGCAGCUCAGCCUGGCCCAGGGCCGAGCCCCAUCCCAUCGCCGAGGCAACCACUCCAAGACCUACUCCAUGGAGGAGGGCACUGGAGACAGCGA
This 537-nucleotide small RNA is filed under the name Pan troglodytes (chimpanzee). RNAcentral describes it as "processed transcript". The record is from RNAcentral. Lineage: Eukaryota; Metazoa; Chordata; Mammalia; Primates; Hominidae.